Molecule: ribosomal RNA, 408 nt
Filed under: uncultured bacterium
Lineage: Bacteria
Description: partial 16S ribosomal RNA
Rfam family: Bacterial small subunit ribosomal RNA
Source: RNAcentral
GACGAACGCUGGCGGCGUGCUUAACACAUGCAAGUCGAACGGAGUGGCGAACGCGGGUGAAACACGUGUGUGAUCUGUCUUGCUCUUCGGGAUAAGCUUGGUAGACUCGGUUUCUAACCGGAUAGUGCAAGAUUAGCGCGUGGCCUAUCAGCUUGUUGGUGGGGUAAUGGCCUACCAAGGCGUCGACGGGUAGCCCGCCUGCGAGGGUGUACGGGCACAUGCGGCCUGAGGUACGGGCCAGACGGCAACGGGAGGCAGGGGUGGGGAAUAGUGCACACUACGCGGCAGGCUGGUGCAGCGACGCCGGGUGGGAGAUGAAUGUCUUCGGGUUGUAAACGCCUUUCGACAGAGAGGCGGUACCUGAAUAGGAAGCCCCGGCUAACUACGUGCCAGCAGCCGCGGUAAUAC